Molecule: ribosomal RNA, 497 nt
Filed under: uncultured bacterium
Lineage: Bacteria
Description: partial 16S ribosomal RNA
Rfam family: Bacterial small subunit ribosomal RNA
Source: RNAcentral
GAUGAACGCUGGCGGCGUGCCUAAUACAUGCAAGUCGAGCGAACAGAUAAGGAGCUUGCUCCUUUGACGUUAGCGGCGGACGGGUGAGUAACACGUGGAUAACCUACCUAUAAGACUGGGAUAACUUCGGGAAACCGGAGCUAAUACCGGAUAACAUAUUGAACCGCAUGGUUCAAUAGUGAAAGGCGGCUUUGCUGUCACUUAUAGAUGGAUCCGGGCCGUAUUAGCUAGUUGGUAAGGUAACGGCUUACCAAGGCAACGAUACGUAGCCGACCUGAGAGGGUGAUCGGCCACACUGGAACUUAGACACGGUCCAGACUCCUACGGGAGGCAGCAGUAGGGAAUCUUCCGCAGUAGGCGAAAGCCUGACGGAGCAACGCCGAGUGAGUGAUGAAGGUCUUCGGAUCGUAAAACUCUGUUAUCAGGGAAGAACAAAUGUGUAAGUAACUGUGCACAUCUUGACGGUAACUGAUCAGAAAGCAACGGCUAACUACGUG